This 800-nucleotide ribosomal RNA is filed under the name Bragasellus lagarioides. RNAcentral's name for it is "partial 28S ribosomal RNA". It matches the Rfam family "Eukaryotic large subunit ribosomal RNA", at positions 396 to 951 of the family's 3401-position model. The record is from RNAcentral. Lineage: Eukaryota; Metazoa; Arthropoda; Malacostraca; Isopoda; Asellidae.
AACGUGAAACUGCCACGAGGUUAAAGCGGAUGUACAUACGUAGCCGAACGGGGGGUCUCAUCUCCUCGAGCCUCCAGGCGCGGUCGCGCUCGGACCGUCGACGUACGGGUCCCUCGCGGGCCCGGCUCCGUCGAAGGCCGUCGCGGCUUCGGACUCGGAGGACAGGGGGGUGGAUUUCCCUCCUUAGUAGGCAGUCGCGGCCGCUCGAGGGUUGUCUAAGGCUCGGAAGUUGGGAACCGUCCGGCGACUAAUAAUCGCCGGCGGGGACGCUACCUUGAUUCUGGCGGACUCUCGGGCGGCGGUACGUGUAGACGGGAUAUACGGUCUGGAUAUAAUUGGGAAGGCCGUCCCGUACGCGGCUGUAAUUGCGAUCGUUCAUCCGUCCCGUCUUGAAACACGGACCAAGGAGUCUAACAUGUGCGCGAGUCAAAGGGUUGGCUAAACCCCUAGGCGCAACGAAAGUAAAAAAGUAGUUCCCGAAAAAACAACCCCGUUCGCGGGGCUUUUUACGGGGGCUCGUUGGGUCGAUCCGCGCUCCCUUCAGUGGACCGGCGCAGACCCGGGGCUCGCCGCUACCUCCGCGUUCCUCCUCCUUCGCUCCUCGCGGGUGCGGGUAGGACGGUUCGCGGCGGGUGGCGGGCACCUAGAGCGUACAUGCUAGUACCCGAAAGAUGGUGAUCUAUGCUUGGCCAGGAUGAAGCCAGAGGAAACUCUGGUGGAGGUCCGUAGCGAUUCUGACGUGCAAAUCGAUCGUCAGAGCUGGGUAUAGGGGCGAAAGACCAAUCGAACCAUCUAGUAGC